GAUCGCAGCACUUAAGGUGGCCACUACUGGAACAGACUUGGCUCUAGGCGACUUUCGCCGCUUUUUGGCAGGAUGUGUGGGUACAGCGGCCGCACAAACAAUUUGGGAUAAGAUAGGGGUUACAGAGAAACACCCGCAUAACAUAAGUCAGAAUAGAUUCCAAGGAGCACUCUACGAAGCAUUACGAGGAAAAUACCCCAGUAAACACACAGCUACCGCAGUCGAGGAUUUUUCCUGGAACACAAAAGAGUCCCCAGCUGCAUUCAUGGCGAGGAGUGAAGCUAUAUGGAGAAAGGCAUUUGGAGAGGAACAUACACAAACACCCCCAACCAGAAAGAUGUAUCGAGCCAUGGUCAUUAAGGGAUUGCCAGACACCGUGCAGGCUCAGCUAAAGAAUGUAGUGGGACUGAAAAAUUCGUCCCAUGAAGUGUGGACUGAUAAUAUAAUGCACUUCCUAGAAUACGUAGCUCCAGAGGUCCCAGAGCCUACUAAUGCAGAAGCUCUAAAGUUAGAGCUACUGAGACUACAGAUUCAGAAUGAAAAGAAAAUCGCAGCAGAUAAUACUAAAAUAGCCAAAGAUGACAAAGCACAGAAGCAGCUGGUAGCCACACAAGAACAGUUAGCGAGUGUGCUGGGAUCCAUGCAGGGAUCAAAAAAUAGCUCCAGUCGUGCAGGCAGUACAACAACAAUUGCCCCCCCCCCUCCUCCUUUCUACCCUCCUCAACCCACAUGGUCCCCACAGAUGAUUCCCCAGCCAUUGAAUAACGGGUGGUACGGACAGACUGAUGACACACGACACCAUAACGACUCCAACUAUAUACCUGGUAGAGGAGGCAGGAGAACAGGCCCAUACAAUUGCUACAACUGUAAUGAGCCAGGGCACUGUGCCAGAAACUGUAAGAGAAAGAGGUAACUAUUAUGGAAGAGGUGGCAGAGGAAGAGGAGGAAGAGGAAGAUACAGAGGAGGAAGUUAUGGAGGACCUGGAGGUUAUAGAGGACCCCAGGGAAACCCUGUUCAACAACAGCAACAGCCUCCACAGCUACAGACUCCCCCUCAACAGCCCCCCCCUCUGCAGCAGACAGCAGCACAACCACAAUACAUCAUAGUCUGUAUCCAGCCCCUCCUCCAAAUCCAUAAGCACUGAUCUAUCAACAGCCACAGCAAGCCACGUUUGCACCGCUUCAAGCUUAGUUAUGCAUAAAAGAAGCCCGUUCAGGAGUAAAAGGAGUAACAACUGGGGCAACAGAGGCUUUAGACGAGUAUUAAUAAUUUUUAAUUAUAGUCAGGCUGGACAUUGGGCUAACUUUUGUCCUUAUCCACCACAGGGUUAAGCAGUCUCAGUCAGGACCACUUCAGUACUCUCAUAAUGUCUAACCCCGCCAUAACAAGCACCCAACACAUAGCCACAGCCACAAGGCAAUAGUGAUCCACGGCACCAGGCCCGGACCAGAGACACAGAAUUAGGCGUGCCCAGAUCCAACAGCUGACAGCGAACUGUACUCACUGAACAGAAAUGUGCCACACCCACUAGUCACCCAAUGAUUCAACUGGAGACUAAAGAGACACUGAACAGGAAGCAAAGUGUCCGGUGGGACAGAGUAGAUGAUGAUGACAUCACACCUCUGCAUGACAACAGCCAGCAGUGGAGACUUUGGUUCAAAGUCCUGCAUCCCUACUCGCCACCAGGGGACCAAAGACAUUGUGCCCUUAACUCCUCCUUGAUACAAGAUGAGAUCUGAGAUCCUGAGGGACUGCCUGCAACACGAGAUUGAGGUUCAUGAAAACCCAACUGUGGAGGCUUGGAGAUCUAUGCAGAGAAGCAAGGAGUAGCAGCGCCGGUGAAUGAACACCAGAAUUGCAGAUUGAAUGCAGUCGUUGACACCGCAGCUCCACAUCACAGUGUUGGUCCAGAGUGGAGGCACAGAGAAGAACAAUGGUGAAAGCAGAGGUUGAGGCUACGGACUGGGUGCACAAACAAAAUUAACACUUGCAUUACUCCACAUUUGAGAACAUGUAAAGAACUGCACACACAUCGGAGGUCCAGUUAAUAUUAGAGACACAUGCUUAGCCACACACAUAGUAGAGAGAACACUGAUCAUGGGGACACUGACAACAUGCGAAACUUAUUUCCAGACACUUUUAGGACUAAAGGGUGAACUGAUGUGUGACUGAUUCCGAUAGCUCCCGUAGAGAUAGAGUUAAAACUGCGUGCGAUUCCAAUUUAAUCAUCACCAGCAUCCCUUAAGGAUGGAACAGACUAGAUAUAUUUUUUAAAUCAUAGAAUGGUUGUUAUAGGAAGGUGUACUGGAGAGGACGAGGGCUCCCUGGAAUACAUUAAUUAAUUAAAUUUCGUAAAACUUGGAAAAUGGGCCUUGAUUUGGGGCCAAUAAAUAAAUGUGUAACCCGUUCUUUACUAAUUAGGCCGACUUAUUAUGACAUUCCUUACCCAAGCACAAUGAUGACGCUGUGAGUUCAGACAAGACAUGGUUCUCCUGCAUUGAUUUGACAGACGCAAGCAUUUUUUAUUUUAUUUCUCUCCUUUCUUCUAGAAGUUGACUGUUUAUUAAGAUUAUUAUUAUUGAAAAGGACGGAUUUAGGAAUUCCAUCCUAUUUCAAAAGAGGGAUAGAAGCACACAACAAUCUAUGUUGAGGACAGACUAUUAAGAGGAGGGCCAGACAAGUACAGACUAAUAGAUCAGAUAGCAGCAGGUUUAGAAUCAGGGACCCCAGAGAAUCAUAAAAAAUAAUUUUUGAAAUCAUAAAUAUGCUUGAUAAAUGAAAAGAUGUAAUCUUAUUUGUGUUCCUUCCAUAGUUGUGGUGAUAGUAGAUGGGGUUCAACGUCGACUGAUUCGAAGAAGAGCCGCCACUCCUGUACACAUAACUUGCGAGUGUUUGAUCACACCCCAUAUAGUGCACACAUGCACACACUUAAGGUAUAGAGUAACAAGACGCAUCAGGUCCGACAACAGAACACAUUUUAACAACAAACUGCUGGGGAAAGUUGAUAUGCACUGGGCAUAACCUACAAGUUUGGGUCUAUAUAUCACCCUCAGUCUCAAGGAUUGGUCGAGAGAGCCAAUCAAAUAAUUAAGAGGAUAAUGUGCGAAGGCGCUUCCACUGGUACUGAUGACCAUGAGAGCAUUACCAGGGGGGAAGACGCCACCAAGUGAGUUGAUAACAGGAAGAAGUAUGCCAGAGCCACCCAGAGAUGGAGGUCAUAUGCCACCUCUGGAUGUCUGUAAAAUUGAAAUGUCAGAAUAUAUAAAAGCUCUAAUUUCUCUCUCACCAAAGCUCUCUCAAACCAGGUUGUUCGAGCCCAGACGAUCGAUCAGGAGGCAGCAGAGCCAACCAAAGUAAAAGUAGGUGACUGGGUCAGGAUCAGGGUUCACAAGAGGAAGUGGACUGAGCCUAGGUGGACUGGUCUGUACGAAGUGAAGGAGGUUACUUCACACAUGGUCCAGGUCAAGGGUAAGGCAGAGGCACCUUGACACCACCUGACACAUUGUGCCCCAGCCACCUGUCCAACAGGGACAUUGACAGAAACACAAUCAGAUGGAAAAAUUUUGAUGCCACAGAGGUCGUUCCGUAGGUGUUUCGGGGAGCCUGAUAGCCCAGCUAGAAGGCCCCCCCCCGCAAACCACUAUAGGAACAGCUGGAAGUCAGACAAACUGUUCUAAUGGUCAUGGGACUGACCCUUGUCAUUAUCGUAGGAUUAGUCAUGUGAGGUUUAGAGAAGAACCUGCCAAAAAAGACAUUAUAAUAGAAAAGAUUAGGGAGAAUAUUGUUUUUAAUGUAUGUUGCCUGAGAGUGACUGUAUGUUAAAAUUAUAGAUUGAAGCCAGUUGAAUAACGGAAAGACAGGAAAAGAAAAGUAGGAAAGACAGGAAAAGAAAGGUUGGAAAGACAGGCAAAGAAAGGUUGGAAUGACAGGAAAAGAAAGGAGACAGAAAGGAGACAAGAAGGAGCAGAGACUGAGACAUUAGAGCUAGAGUUAGGACUGCAACACAGGAAGAUGGGUGCAGACAACAUCGACUCUCACUGCUCACCGUCUCCUGUCAUUAAUGGCACCUCGAUGUGCAAAAGUUUUGUUUUUCCCCAUAAGCUGUUUUAGGGUUCGAGCACGAGAGAGGAGGGUGCUGGACGAAUACCUGCCUGCUAUCAGAUCCUAGUAGGAUUUGAAUAUUUCUAUGCCCUAGUCAAGGGCCAUAGAUAGGAUCAAUUACAUUUAUCAUAACCAGUAAAGAUAAAUAAAGUUAGAUUGGAUUGGAUAAGUAAUUAAGACUCUGUUGGACGACGGAUGGCCAUUUAAUAGAUGAUUCCUCCCACACGGGGUGAGAAGCUGUUCCUCCGACUCAGUUAAAGAUUGCGAAUUCAAGCCUAGAAAGUAUUAGAUACUUAUUAAAUAUAGAAAUUAAAAUACAAUUUUCAUAGUCAAGUGUCACAUUCUGUAUAGAUCCGGCCUAGUGGCUGUUGUGUUGUGUUUUCUCAUUCUCUUCAACAGCUACACCUGACGCUCCAGCAUCGACCUCCAUCGUGUGCUGACUGCCUGCUGUGAGGACCUGCCAUGAGGAGCUGCCCACAGGAGCAUCGGACACCAUCAUCACCCGGCUCAGAGACUGAGGAGCCAAUGAAGAGCACGCUCUACCACCCACGAUGCUGCACAUGAGAGUCAUGUCGAAUCCAGGGCCCAUGCGACACCAGUGAAAGAACAACAACAAGCCUGGCCAGGACGAUCCAGACGAAAUCAAGUUCGAGACCACCGGAUAAAAGACCCCAUCGACAGCCGGAGGAGACGCUGACGCAGACCAGAGGACCAGAGGACCAGAGGGACUUCCAGGACCCAGACCAGGAUGAAGCAGAUGACGCAGACCAGACCAGGAUGAAGCAGAUGGAUUGCAGCGGGGACCGGAUCGUCAACUGGUUAUCAGGAUGCCAACCUGCUACUCACCAGCCGCUAGGAUGCAAGACCCCCCCCCUGCCUCACCACUCUCAAUUUCAUCUCUUUCUUCGACACCUGCACAUUACAGAUUUAAUGCACACAGACCUACUGACUUCCCUAGGAUGGAAGAUCUAAGAGGGUGGAUCGGAGUACCACAUGACAGAAACCACGCCCCUAUUCCCAUCCCUAACAGAGAGAGACACUCUCCCCGAGAAAUAGGUAUCUUACAGGUCUUAUGGGACCUUAAUCUAGGCAACGAAAGAUUAUAUUUCAGGAGACUCAUUCACGUCAAGUGGCAGAGCUAAGACAGGACGAGGAGGCCAGGCCAUGACAAGAUCUGGCAGCAAGAGGGAAAUAAAUAUUCCCAGAGAAAGGG
Long non-coding RNA from Pseudoliparis swirei, 5315 nucleotides. RefSeq lists it as uncharacterized. The record is from RefSeq and is a predicted model, not a curated record. The transcript is spliced from 2 exons. Lineage: Eukaryota; Metazoa; Chordata; Actinopteri; Perciformes; Liparidae.